RNAcentral lists this ribosomal RNA (460 nucleotides) under uncultured bacterium. RNAcentral describes it as "partial 16S ribosomal RNA". It matches the Rfam family "Bacterial small subunit ribosomal RNA", at positions 338 to 795 of the family's 1533-position model. The record is from RNAcentral.
CCUACGGGUGGCAGCAGUGAGGAAUAUUGGUCAAUGGCCGUAAGGCUGAACCAGCCAAGUCGCGUGAAGGAAGAAGGAUCUAUGGUUUGUAAACCUCUUUUAUAAGGGAAUAAAGUGCGGGACGUGUCCCGCUUUGUAUGUACCUUAUGAAUAAGGAUCGGCUAACUCCGUGCCAGCAGCCGCGGUAAUACGGAGGAUCCGAGCGUUAUCGGGAUUUAUUGGGUUUAAAGGGUGCGUAGGCGGCCUUUUAAGUCAGCGGUGAAAGUCUGUGGCUCAACCAUAGAAUUGCCGUUGAAACUGGGAGGCUUGAGUAUGUUUGAGGCAGGCGGAAUGCGUGGUGUAGCAGUGAAAUGCUUAGAUAUCAAGCAGAACCCCGAUGGCGAAGGCAGCCUGCCAAGCCAUGACUGACGCUGAUGCACGAAAGCGUGGGGAUCAAACAGGAUUAGAUACCCUUGUAGUC